Falco peregrinus (peregrine falcon) is the source of this 941-nucleotide long non-coding RNA. RefSeq lists it as uncharacterized. The record is from RefSeq and is a predicted model, not a curated record. Lineage: Eukaryota; Metazoa; Chordata; Aves; Falconiformes; Falconidae. The transcript is spliced from 3 exons.
CAACAAUUUCUUCAGACGAGUCCUCUUUCCUCACUGACCACAAGUCAUCCACCCCCAAGGUCUGCUGACAGCCUUUCCAGACCAGCCUGGGGAAGGAACACACAGACGGCUGUAAGAGAACCACCAGUAUGUGAUUUUGGAAAGAAAAGAGCUGCUGGAUUCUGGACACUGAUUCUGAUGGGAGAAAAAACAUGGAUGAUAUUUUUACAUAGAUAAGGGCAUGUGUCAGAUAAACAUAAUCCCCUUCUGCACUUCCCCAAGAAAAGCAAUCAAAAAGUUACACCCAUCCCAUUCAUUGACCCUGACAGUGUUGUGGAGGAUCAGUGGGAUCAGGAGACUUUGGAGAAUUAGACUUUAAAUAAUGUAUUUGAUGGAGGAACAAGGACUAUCAUUCUUCAUACCCAAAGACAUUUGUUUUCUGAAGCACAGACCUCUGCCAUACCCACACCUCAAACAGAGUACUUCUGCACAGCAGAGCAUGGGGAAGCAACAGGAGCCCUAUCUACUGGUUUCAAUGAAAAUACACCAAUGUGGAUAGAAAAAGCUUUUAGUUUUUCAAAACAUACAUAGAGAGACAGAAUAUUGUUAUCCCAAAUUCUGCCGGUUACCUUUUCAAACUCUCAGCCUUUAUACAGAACAAUGCAUCUUUCAUCUCCCAGCUACUAAUGUUCCUGUGCAUCCCCAUAAAUUAAAAUUCCUGUUUGAGCAAUGAAGCAAUGCAUUAUGAAAAGCUACGCUGUACUUACAGGAUUGUUGACACCUUUAGAGAAGAAGGGAGGGUGAUCAACGAAGCAGAAUAACACAAGUUCUCCUAGCACCAGACUAGCAUAAAGGGCAUGUUGGACUUUGGAACUAAACAUCACAACUGCAGCCAUGAAUGAGAGCAGCCAGUAAAUCAACAUGACGCCUGAAGACUGGAUGCCCAUCAUUCUUUCCACUUG